Molecule: ribosomal RNA, 566 nt
Filed under: Vibrio splendidus
Lineage: Bacteria; Pseudomonadati; Pseudomonadota; Gammaproteobacteria; Vibrionales; Vibrionaceae
Description: bacterial LSU rRNA
Rfam family: Bacterial large subunit ribosomal RNA
Source: RNAcentral
CACAAUUCGAGCAGGUGCGAAAGCAGGUCAUAGUGAUCCGGUGGUUCUGAAUGGAAGGGCCAUCGCUCAACGGAUAAAAGGUACUCCGGGGAUAACAGGCUGAUACCGCCCAAGAGUUCAUAUCGACGGCGGUGUUUGGCACCUCGAUGUCGGCUCAUCACAUCCUGGGGCUGAAGUCGGUCCCAAGGGUAUGGCUGUUCGCCAUUUAAAGUGGUACGCGAGCUGGGUUUAGAACGUCGUGAGACAGUUCGGUCCCUAUCUGCCGUGGGCGUUGGAAAAUUGAAAGGGGCUGCUCCUAGUACGAGAGGACCGGAGUGGACGAACCUCUGGUGUUCGGGUUGUCAUGCCAAUGGCAUUGCCCGGUAGCUAAGUUCGGAAUCGAUAACCGCUGAAAGCAUCUAAGCGGGAAGCGAGCCUUGAGAUGAGUUUUCCCUGGCACUAUAAGUGUCCUAAAGGGUUGUCGUAGACUACGACGUUGAUAGGCAGGGUGUGUAAGUGCUGCGAGGCAUUGAGCUAACCUGUACUAAUUGCCCGUGAGGCUUAACCAUACAACACCCAAGGGGUUU